This 581-nucleotide ribosomal RNA is filed under the name Leptolyngbya sp. MGCY379. RNAcentral's name for it is "bacterial SSU rRNA". It matches the Rfam family "Bacterial small subunit ribosomal RNA", at positions 122 to 736 of the family's 1533-position model. Lineage: Bacteria; Bacillati; Cyanobacteriota; Cyanophyceae; Leptolyngbyales; Leptolyngbyaceae. The record is from RNAcentral.
GAAUCUGGCUCCAGGACUGGGACAACAUUGGGAAACUGAUGCUAAUACCGGAUGUGCCGAGAGGUGAAAGAUUAAUUGCCUGGAGAUGAGCUCGCGUCUGAUUAGCUAGUUGGUGAGGUAAGAGCUCACCAAGGCGACGAUCAGUAGCUGGUCUGAGAGGAUGAUCAGCCACACUGGGACUGAGACACGGCCCAGACUCCUACGGGAGGCAGCAGUGGGGAAUUUUCCGCAAUGGGCGAAAGCCUGACGGAGCAAGACCGCGUGAGGGAGGAAGGCUCUUGGGUUGUAAACCUCUUUUCUCAGGGAAGAAUAGAUGACGGUACCUGAGGAAUCAGCAUCGGCUAACUCCGUGCCAGCAGCCGCGGUAAUACGGAGGAUGCAAGCGUUAUCCGGAAUUAUUGGGCGUAAAGCGUCCGUAGGUGGUUAUACAAGUCAGCUGUUAAAGCGUGGGGCUUAACUCCAUAAAGGCGGUUGAAACUGUAGGACUAGAGUGUGGUAGGGGUAGCGGGAAUUCCCAGUGUAGCGGUGAAAUGCGUAGAUAUUGGGAAGAACACCGGCGGCGAAAGCGCGCUACUGGGCCA